Molecule: ribosomal RNA, 497 nt
Filed under: uncultured bacterium
Lineage: Bacteria
Description: partial 16S ribosomal RNA
Rfam family: Bacterial small subunit ribosomal RNA
Source: RNAcentral
GACGAACGCUGGCGGCGUGCCUAAUACAUGCAAGUUGAGCGCUGAAGGUUGGUACUUGUACCAACUGGAUGAGCAGCGAACGGGUGAGUAACGCGUGGAGAAUCUGCCUUUGAUCGGGGGACAACAUCUGGAAACGAAUGCUAAUACCGCAUAAUAACUUUAAACACAAGUUUUAAGUUUGAAAGAUGCAAUUGCAUCACUCAAAGAUGAUCCCGCGUUGUAUUAGCUAGUUGGUGAGGUAAAGGCUCACCAAGGCGAUGAUACAUAGCCGACCUGAGAGGGUGGUCCGGCACAAUGGGAAUGAGGACAGGCCCAAACCCCUACGGGGGGGCGCAGUAGGGGAUCUUCGGCAAAGGACGAAAGUCUGGCCGAGGAAAGCCGGGUGAGUGAAGGAGGGUUUCGGGUCGUAAAACUCUGUUGGUAGAGAAGAAAGAUGGGGAGAGUGGAAAGCUCAUCAAGUGACGGUAACUAAACAGAAAGCGACGGCUAACUACGUG